AAAAGACGAUAAUAUAUGCCGAAGACAGUAGGUGUUCUAUUAGAACAUAAUGAGUAAUCGCCUACCGAGGAAAAGUUAUAUUUUGACUUUUUACCUCUCGAUGUCUUCGAGAGGUUUUUUUCGGCGGUUAA
Non-coding RNA from Butyrivibrio proteoclasticus, 131 nucleotides. The record is from Rfam. NCBI's taxonomy places the organism in Bacteria, Bacillati, Bacillota, Clostridia, Lachnospirales, Lachnospiraceae.